Molecule: ribosomal RNA, 368 nt
Filed under: uncultured bacterium
Lineage: Bacteria
Description: bacterial SSU rRNA
Rfam family: Bacterial small subunit ribosomal RNA
Source: RNAcentral
GGAGCGGUGMAAGCGUUAUCCGGAUUCACUGGGUUUAAAGGGUGCGUAGGUGGGUCUGUAAGUCCGUGGUGAAAUCUCCGAGCUUAACUUGGAAACUGCCAUGGAUACUAUAGGUCUUGAAUACUGUGGAGGUCAGCGGAAUAUGUCAUGUAGCGGUGAAAUGCUUAGAUAUGACAUAGAACACCAAUUGCGAAGGCAGCUGGCUACACAAAUAUUGACACUGAUGCACGAAAGCGUGGGGAUCAAACAGGAUUAGAUACCCUGGUAGUCCACGCCCUAAACGAUGGAUACUCGACAUUUGCGAUAAACUGCAAGUGUCUGAGCGAAAGCAUUAAGUAUCCCACCUGGGAAGUACGAUCGCAAGAUUG